Molecule: unclassified non-coding RNA, 240 nt
Filed under: soil metagenome
Description: partial contains 5.8S ribosomal RNA, internal transcribed spacer 2, and large subunit ribosomal RNA
Source: RNAcentral
AAGACUAUAGACCUGCGGAGUACCUGCGGAAGGAUCAUUACCGAGUUAGGGUUCCUCUCACGGGCCCGACCUCCCAACCCUGUGUCUAUCACACCUUGUCGUUGCUUCGGUGGACCGGUUCGGGGACUUUUGUUUCUGGCCGCCGGGGGUGUUUUCCACCCCGGGAGAGCGUCCGCCGAUGGCCCAACCACAACUUCUUUGUUCUAAACCUGUCGUCUAAAUCAAACUUGAUAAUAAUCA